Non-coding RNA from Drosophila melanogaster (fruit fly), 573 nucleotides. The record is from Ensembl. Lineage: Eukaryota; Metazoa; Arthropoda; Insecta; Diptera; Drosophilidae.
CGGCAACCUGUAACUCAAUCAAUGGUCAAUGCGGUUAAAUUGUGGCGCACAAAGGGACUUUAAGGGAUGGGAGUGGAAUUGCAACCGUUCUAACCGCUGCAACCUCUGAUAUCACCUCAUUAUUGCUGCUAAAUCCAUGCGCAGACACACCGACUUCCGUUCUGGCCGAAAUGAAAUUUAUAAUGACAGCUACAGCAAACAACAAACAGACAAACAAACAAACAAAUCAUGGCCCCCAUAUCCAGUUUCCCCCCCGAACAAUUAUGGCUGAAAAGUUGAACGAUACAACUAAAAUGUAAUCAGCCAGGACCUCCACAACGUUCAUACAUGUAUGUGGAGAAGUAGCGAGCCAUGUUCUUCUCACCAUCAUGUGUCCGUGUGUUUGUUUUAAUUAAAAUUACAGAGCCAUGUUUGUGUCUUUGUUCCCGCCUUUGUUGGCCACUCUCUCUCUCUCUCUUAAUGCUUUUUUAGUAAAUAAUUUAUAUUCAAUUUUCAAAUAAAUUGCCAACAAAAAUAGUUAGCAAACAAACGGAGGCCACCAUGGGAUGCAUUAGACUGUAGUUUGUAAUGCAG